This 553-nucleotide ribosomal RNA is filed under the name uncultured archaeon. RNAcentral's name for it is "bacterial SSU rRNA". It matches the Rfam family "Bacterial small subunit ribosomal RNA", at positions 401 to 976 of the family's 1533-position model. The record is from RNAcentral.
GUGAGUGAAGAAGGCUUUGGGUUGUACAGCUCUUUUGUAGGGGAAGAUAAUGACUGUCCCUAAGAAUAAGGUCCGGCUACCUUCGUGCCAGCAGCCGCGGUAAUACGAAGGGACCUAGCGUAGUUCGGAAUUACUGGGCGUAAAGCGCGCGUAGGCCGUUGAGUUAGUUAAUUGUGAAAUCCCAAAGCUUAACUUUGGAACUGCAAUUAAAACUGCUCGACUAGAGUUUGAUAGAGGAAAGCGGAAUACAUAGUGUAGAGGUGAAAUUCGUAGAUAUUAUGUAGAACACCAGUUGCGAAGGCGGCUUUCUGGGUCAACACUGACGCUGAGGCGCGAAAGUAUGGGUAGCAAAGAGGAUUAGAUACCCUCGUAGUCCAUACCAUCAACGAUGAUUGCUAGAUGUUGGAAAUUUAUCCACAGUAUCGCAACUAACGCAUUAAGCAAUCCGACUGGGGAGUACGACCGCCAGGUUUGAACUCAAAUGAAUUGACGGGGAGCCGUACAAGCGGUGGCGCAUGUGGUCUAAUUCGAAGAUACGCGCAGAACCUUACCA